RNAcentral lists this ribosomal RNA (2133 nucleotides) under Salmonella enterica subsp. enterica serovar Enteritidis. RNAcentral describes it as "partial 23S ribosomal RNA". It matches the Rfam family "Bacterial large subunit ribosomal RNA", at positions 689 to 2802 of the family's 2925-position model. The record is from RNAcentral. Lineage: Bacteria; Pseudomonadati; Pseudomonadota; Gammaproteobacteria; Enterobacterales; Enterobacteriaceae.
UGGGCGUUAAGUUGCAGGGUAUAGACCCGAAACCCGGUGAUCUAGCCAUGGGCAGGUUGAAGGUUGGGUAACACUAACUGGAGGACCGAACCGACUAAUGUUGAAAAAUUAGCGGAUGACCUGUGGCUGGGGGUGAAAGGCCAAUCAAACCGGGAGAUAGCUGGUUCUCCCCGAAAGCUAUUUAGGUAGCGCCUCGUGAAUUCAUCUCCGGGGGUAGAGCACUGUUUCGGCUAGGGGGCCAUCCCGGCUUACCAACCCGAUGCAAACUGCGAAUACCGGAGAAUGUUAUCACGGGAGACACACGGCGGGUGCUAACGUCCGUCGUGAAGAGGGAAACAACCCAGACCGCCAGCUAAGGUCCCAAAGUCAUGGUUAAGUGGGAAACGAUGUGGGAAGGCCCAGACAGCCAGGAUGUUGGCUUAGAAGCAGCCAUCAUUUAAAGAAAGCGUAAUAGCUCACUGGUCGAGUCGGCCUGCGCGGAAGAUGUAACGGGGCUAAACCAUGCACCGAAGCUGCGGCAGCGACGCUUAUGCGUUGUUGGGUAGGGGAGCGUUCUGUAAGCCUGCGAAGGUGGCCUGUGAGGGUUGCUGGAGGUAUCAGAAGUGCGAAUGCUGACAUAAGUAACGAUAAAGCGGGUGAAAAGCCCGCUCGCCGGAAGACCAAGGGUUCCUGUCCAACGUUAAUCGGGGCAGGGUGAGUCGACCCCUAAGGCGAGGCCGAAAGGCGUAGUCGAUGGGAAACGGGUUAAUAUUCCCGUACUUGGUGUUACUGCGAAGGGGGGACGGAGAAGGCUAUGUUGGCCGGGCGACGGUUGUCCCGGUUUAAGCGUGUAGGUGUGUGUUCCAGGUAAAUCCGGUUCACUUUAACACUGAGGCGUGACGACGAGGCACUACGGUGCUGAAGCAACAAAUGCCCUGCUUCCAGGAAAAGCCUCUAAGCAUCAGGUAACAUCAAAUCGUACCCCAAACCGACACAGGUGGUCAGGUAGAGAAUACCAAGGCGCUUGAGAGAACUCGGGUGAAGGAACUAGGCAAAAUGGUGCCGUAACUUCGGGAGAAGGCACGCUGACACGUAGGUGAAGUGAUUUACUCAUGGAGCUGAAGUCAGUCGAAGAUACCAGCUGGCUGCAACUGUUUAUUAAAAACACAGCACUGUGCAAACACGAAAGUGGACGUAUACGGUGUGACGCCUGCCCGGUGCCGGAAGGUUAAUUGAUGGGGUCAGCGCAAGCGAAGCUCCUGAUCGAAGCCCCGGUAAACGGCGGCCGUAACUAUAACGGUCCUAAGGUAGCGAAAUUCCUUGUCGGGUAAGUUCCGACCUGCACGAAUGGCGUAAUGAUGGCCAGGCUGUCUCCACCCGAGACUCAGUGAAAUUGAACUCGCUGUGAAGAUGCAGUGUACCCGCGGCAAGACGGAAAGACCCCGUGAACCUUUACUAUAGCUUGACACUGAACAUUGAGCCUUGAUGUGUAGGAUAGGUGGGAGGCUUUGAAGUGUGGACGCCAGUCUGCAUGGAGCCGACCUUGAAAUACCACCCUUUAAUGUUUGAUGUUCUAACGUGGACCCGUUACCCGGGUUGCGGACAGUGUCUGGUGGGUAGUUUGACUGGGGCGGUCUCCUCCUAAAGAGUAACGGAGGAGCACGAAGGUUGGCUAAUCCUGGUCGGACAUCAGGAGGUUAGUGCAAUGGCAUAAGCCAGCUUGACUGCGAGCGUGACGGCGCGAGCAGGUGCGAAAGCAGGUCAUAGUGAUCCGGUGGUUCUGAAUGGAAGGGCCAUCGCUCAACGGAUAAAAGGUACUCCGGGGAUAACAGGCUGAUACCGCCCAAGAGUUCAUAUCGACGGCGGUGUUUGGCACCUCGAUGUCGGCUCAUCACAUCCUGGGGCUGAAGUAGGUCCCAAGGGUAUGGCUGUUCGCCAUUUAAAGUGGUACGCGAGCUGGGUUUAGAACGUCGUGAGACAGUUCGGUCCCUAUCUGCCGUGGGCGCUGGAGAACUGAGGGGGGCUGCUCCUAGUACGAGAGGACCGGAGUGGACGCAUCACUGGUGUUCGGGUUGUCAUGCCAAUGGCACUGCCCGGUAGCUAAAUGCGGAAGAGAUAAGUGCUGAAAGCAUCUAAGCACGAAACUUGCCCCGA